This 216-nucleotide ribosomal RNA is filed under the name Glomeromycotina sp. RNAcentral's name for it is "partial small subunit ribosomal RNA". The stretch from base 40 to 216 matches the Rfam family "Eukaryotic small subunit ribosomal RNA", at positions 686 to 864 of the family's 1831-position model. The record is from RNAcentral. Lineage: Eukaryota; Fungi; Glomeromycota.
GGGUCAGUAGGUUGGUCGUGCCACCGGUACGUACUGGUCUCACUGAUUCCUCCUUCCUGAAGAACCGUAAUGCCAACAAUUUGGUGUUGCGGAGAAACAGGACUGUUACUUUGAAAAAAUUAGAGUGUUUAAAGCAAGCUAACGCUUGAAUACAUUAGCAUGGAAUAAUGAAAUAGGACGAUCGAUCCUAUUUUGUUGGUUUCUAGGAUUGACGUA